Molecule: non-coding RNA, 27 nt
Filed under: Cricetulus griseus (Chinese hamster)
Lineage: Eukaryota; Metazoa; Chordata; Mammalia; Rodentia; Cricetidae
Source: RNAcentral
GACGGAACUUUUUUCCCCAUCAGAUCG